This is a long non-coding RNA of Daphnia carinata, 501 nucleotides long. RefSeq lists it as uncharacterized. The record is from RefSeq and is a predicted model, not a curated record. The transcript is spliced from 3 exons. Lineage: Eukaryota; Metazoa; Arthropoda; Branchiopoda; Diplostraca; Daphniidae.
ACACCAACGCCACAAAAGGAGAAUGUCUAACGGGCCAAUUUCGUUGUGCCAAUCGGCUCUGUGUCAACUCUACGCUAUUGUGCGAUGGUCGGAACGAUUGUGGGGACUUCUGUGAUGAAAACAAAUGCAACGUCAACGAGUGCGAGCCCAUUAAUCCAUGCCAACACACCUGCGUCGAUAAACCCGUCGGGUACGAAUGCCAAUGCAAUGCGGGUUUCAAACCCAACCCUAAAGACCAACACUUGUGCUCCGACAUAGACGAAAGCGCUCUGCAUCCUCGUCCAUGCUCGUAAAUAUGCCGUAAAACGUUCGGCUCCUACGUUUGUUCCUGUUCAGCCGGAUACAUUUCGGUUCAUAAGGGGAGCAGCUGCAAGACCAAUUCAAGCUUUGCCCCUACCGUCUUGUUCUCCAACCGGUACUACAUUCGCGGGGUCCACCUCCAUAGCGGUAUGGCGUCCGUUCGUCUCACAACUCGACGAAUGCCGUUGCCCUUGAUUACGA